Ribosomal RNA from Gadus morhua (Atlantic cod), 119 nucleotides. The record is from Ensembl. Lineage: Eukaryota; Metazoa; Chordata; Actinopteri; Gadiformes; Gadidae.
UACCACGGCCAUGCCACCCUGAGCAUGCCCGAUCUCGACUGAUCUCGGAAGCUAAGCAGGGUCGGGCCUGGUUAGUACUUGGAUGGGUGACCGCCUGGGAAUACCAGGUGCUGUAAGGG